GAUUUCUGACUUGUAGCACCAGCUCCAUCCUUUUGGGUGCGUAGUUGGCUGCUCGGGUCAUCCUUCCGAUGAGUACCACUGCCCUUCAUUGGGUUGGUGGUGCGCCAUCGGAUCUUUUACUUUGAAAAAAUUAGAGUGUUCAAAGCAGGCUUGAAGCUGUGAAUACAUUAGCAUGGAAUAAUAAGAUAAGACUUUGGUUUUAUUUUGUUGGUUUCUAGAACUAGAGUAAUGAUUGAUAGGGAUAGUUGGGGGUGCUAAUAUUCAACGGCCAGAGGUGAAAUUCUAUGAUUCGUUGAAGAUUAACUCAUGCGAAAGCGUU
RNAcentral lists this ribosomal RNA (319 nucleotides) under uncultured Cercozoa. RNAcentral's name for it is "bacterial SSU rRNA". The stretch from base 58 to 319 matches the Rfam family "Eukaryotic small subunit ribosomal RNA", at positions 693 to 955 of the family's 1831-position model. The record is from RNAcentral. Lineage: Eukaryota; Cercozoa.